RNAcentral lists this unclassified non-coding RNA (100 nucleotides) under Rondeletia odorata. RNAcentral describes it as "partial external transcribed spacer". The record is from RNAcentral. Lineage: Eukaryota; Viridiplantae; Streptophyta; Magnoliopsida; Gentianales; Rubiaceae.
UGUACACGCUCGUUGCCGAACGACUGCCGUCGUGGCCUCGGGCCGUCGGACCCUUCGGGUGACGACGUGCUCGUGCUGCGCCGGCGUCCGUGAGGAAUGC